RNAcentral lists this ribosomal RNA (393 nucleotides) under uncultured bacterium. Its description in RNAcentral is "partial 16S ribosomal RNA". It matches the Rfam family "Bacterial small subunit ribosomal RNA", at positions 523 to 918 of the family's 1533-position model. The record is from RNAcentral.
AUACGGAGGACGCGAGCGUUAUCCGGAUUCAUUGGGUUUAAAGGGUGCGUAGGCGGUUUGCUAAGCGGGAGGUGAAAUGCCGGCGCUCAACGUCGGAAGUGCCUCCCGAACUGGUGGACUGGAAUGACUCUGCCGUGGGAGGAAUGUGUAGUGUAGCGGUGAAAUGCUUAGAGAUUACACAGAACACCGAUUGCGAAGGCAUCUCACGAAGGGUUGAUUGACGCUGAGGCACGAAAGCGUGGGGAUCAAACAGGAUUAGAUACCCUGGUAGUCCACGCAGUAAACGAUGAUGGCUAACCGCUGGUUUAUUCGGAUCAGUGGCCAAGCGAAAGCGAUAAGCCAUCCACCUGGGGAGUACGACCGCAAGGUUGAAACUCAAAUGAAUUGACGGGG